GACGAACGCUGGCGGCGUGCCUAAUACAUGCAAGUAGAACGCUGAAGAGAGGAGCUUGCUCUUCUUGGAUGAGUUGCGAACGGGUGAGUAACGCGUAGGUAACCUGCCUUGUAGCGGGGGAUAACUAUUGGAAACGAUAGCUAAUACCGCAUAACAAUGGAUGACACAUGUCAUUUAUUUGAAAGGGGCAAUUGCUCCACUACAAGAUGGACCUGCGUUGUAUUAGCUAGUAGGUGAGGUAAUGGCUCACCUAGGCGACGAUACAUAGCCGACCUGAGAGGGUGCUCGGCCACACUGGGACUGAGACACGGCCCAGACUCCUACGGGAGGCAGCAGUAGGGAAUCUUCGGCAAUGGGGGCAACCCUGACCGAGCAACGCCGCGUGAGUGAAGAAGGUUUUCGGAUCGUAAAGCUCUGUUGUAAGUCAAGAACGGGUGUGAGAGUGGAAAGUUCACACUGUGACGGUAGCUUAACAGAAAGGGACGGCUAACUACGUG
RNAcentral lists this ribosomal RNA (497 nucleotides) under uncultured bacterium. RNAcentral's name for it is "partial 16S ribosomal RNA". It matches the Rfam family "Bacterial small subunit ribosomal RNA", at positions 28 to 507 of the family's 1533-position model. The record is from RNAcentral.